RNAcentral lists this long non-coding RNA (4885 nucleotides) under Medicago truncatula (barrel medic). Its description in RNAcentral is "long non-coding RNA (MTRU_LNC003798)". Lineage: Eukaryota; Viridiplantae; Streptophyta; Magnoliopsida; Fabales; Fabaceae. The record is from RNAcentral.
UUUGGUUCUUGAUUUCCUAUCUAGUGUCACUUCAGUAGCACUCUUUUCAAUAUUCUUGUUUUCUUUUUUGUUUCUUUAUCGUUCCUACAAAGUUUCCCAUAGCAAAGAGGCUCCUAUAGUUCAAGGGGCAUGGCCAAUACUUGGUCACCUACAACUAUUAAAAAAUUCACAAAAACCUCAUAGAACCUUAGGUGCAUUGGCUGAUAAAUAUGGACCCUUGUUCACUAUUAAGCUUGGUUCCAAACGUGCUUUGGUUGUUAGCAAUUGGGAAAUGGCAAAGGAAUGUUUCACAAAAAUUGACUUGGCAAUAUCCAAUCGCCCUAAACUUGAAGCAACUCAACAUUUGGGUUACAAUGGUGCCAUGUUUGCGUUAGCACCCUAUGGUUCUUGUUGGCGCCAAGUAAGGAAGAUUGCAACUUCAGAGAUCCUCAGCCAUAGGCAUGUCGAACAACAACAAUAUUUUCAUACCUCAGAAGUUCAGGCGUGGAUUAAAGAGCUCUUCAAUGUUUGGUUUAGUAAAAAGAACGAGUCAUCAAACUACGCGUUGGUGGAGUUAAAGCAAUGGUUUACUCAAUUAAGUUUCAACAUUGUUCUUCCAGUGCUGGUUGGGAAACGAUAUUUUGGUGCUACGAAUGUGGCGAACGAGGAAGAAGCGCAAAGAUGUAUAAAAGCUUUACAAGAGUUGAUGCGAUUGUUAGGGGUGUUCACAAUAGGAGAUGCCAUUCCUUUUCUAAAAUGGUUUGAUUUUGGUGGCCAUGUGAAGGCCAUGAAAGCAACUUCUAAAGAAUUGGACAAGAUUUUAGGUGAGUUGUUGGAAGAGCGCCGCCAUAAAAGGAGUUUGAGUAAGAAGAUUGAUCAUGAUCAUCAAGACUUCAUGGAUGCCUUGCUUUCAUUGCUUGAUGAAACACCAAUUGAAGGGUGUGAUUCUGAUACUACAAUCAAAGCGACAAUAUUGGUAUGUGCAUACUUGCUAUUUAAAUCAAAUAUCCUUUUAUGCCUCUGUUUGGCAAGGCCAAUAAAUUAGCUUAUAGUGGAUAGCUUAUUAAUUACUUUUUUUUCAAUUAUAAUUCUAAUUAAUAAUAUUUUCAUCAUUCUCAAUUCAAUAUUUUCCACUUUAUUUUUAUGACAAAGACAUUUAAAAUCAUUUUUGUCUCUCUUUCACUUAUAAUUUUUUCUAAUAUAUGUGAAAUAAUCAAAUCACUCACUUAAUUUGAGACGGAGAGAGUACUCUCUGACAAUAGUUUACAUUUUUAUUCUAAUAAUUCUCAAGAUUCAAUGUCAAAUUCCAAGCCCUUAUUUUAAGCAUAAAUAUAAUCAAAGAUUACUUGAGCGUAGCGCCCUUUCGAUUAAUAAUAAUUAAGAAAAAAUAUGAUGUUUUAUUAAUAAUAAAGAAAAUUGUAGAGAGAGGUUUUAUAACUACUCUCAAGAAAAGCUCUAACACAACUCAGAUGGGAGUCCAAAUCUAACCCUAAACGUAAAACUUAUUUAUUCUUUCAUACCUAGAUGUCUUAUAAAUAAAUAAAAAGAACAUUCUAAUAUUUAACCCUAAUAGAUCUCUUAUAUAUUAUUUAAUCAUAAUGUGUCUUUUGAAAUUCGUACUUCUUUUACAGACACUAAUCGGGGGAGGAAUUGAAACAACUAGCGUUACCCUUACAUGGGCAAUAUGUUUGUUGCUUAGAAAUCCUCUAAUAUUGAAAAAAGCAAAAGAAGAACUUGAUGCUCAAGUUGGAAAAGAGAGGUGUGUAAGAAAGUCAGAUAUAGACAAGUUGGUGUACCUUCAAGCCAUAGUCAAAGAAACACUAAGAUUAUAUCCACCUGGCCCUUUAUCUGUGCCUCGUGAAUUCUCAGAGAAUUGUAAUUUAGGUGGAUAUGAUGUAAGAAAUGGAACACGAUUAAUUUUGAAUCUUUGGAAGAUUCACACUGAUCCUAAUGUUUGGUCAGAUCCAUUAGUAUUCAAACCGGAGAGGUUUCUUACAACGCAUAAAGAUAUUGAUUUUAGAGGUAAUCAUUUUGAGCUAUUACCAUUUGGAGGUGGUAGAAGGAUUUGUCCCGGAAUAUCAUUAGGGCUUCAAAUGCUGCAUUUAACUUUGGCUAGUUUUUUGCAUUCCUUUGAAAUCUUAAAUCCAUCAAGUGAACCUAUUGAUAUGAAUGAAACUUUUGGAUUAAGCAACACCAAAACAACUCCUCUUGAGAUUCUUAUAAAGCCACGUUUGUCUUCGAAUUGUUAUGAAAUUAUGUGACUUUGUGUUAGCAUUAUAUUUAUAAUAUUUUGUGUUUUGAAACUUUGUAAUCCUUUGAGACUCAUACUGUGUUAGUUGUGUAAUCCUUUGUGAUAUUUGGUGUACUUCAUUGUUGAUAUGUAAUAUAAUUUGGAUUAAUGUGAAAGUUGUUGAAUUUAUCCUAAUUCAUUUACACAUUUGGUUCCAUGAUUAUAAGCUAACAAGUAUCUUUAAAGUAUUAUUUUAGCAUCUUAAAGUAGUAAUUUUUACAUGUUUCUGAUUUGUAUUUUCAAGGACAAUUUUCUUUUAAAGUUUUUUAAACAAUGCUCUUAAAACACUUGUUAACAAGAUCCUUAUAAUAUUUAUAUGAAAAAUUUUAAUAGAGGAUUAUUUUGUAGAUGUCGAAUUUUUACCUAGCUACCUGAUCUCCUCACCACUAACCUAUGAAUUAUGAUCCAUCCAUUCCAUUCCUAAAAAUCCCCAUUUUUUAUUUUAUCUUACCAACAUACUAAUCAUCAAAGAUGUUGAAUCCAAACAUGUUAUAGUACCCUAAUUUAAUAAGUCCGACCCACUCAAACAGUUUCCGAAAAAUGUCACAAUUGUUGAAUUUUGUAAUAUCUUCCUUCGAUAUAAAAUUUCUUAAAAUAAGUCUUAAAGUCACUAAAAUAGAAUGUCUAUAUUCAUCAAACCCAUUAGCCAGAGCUCGCAUUCUGAAAAUAACUUUUUUGACUUCAAUAACUUCUUAAAAAUACAUGAAAAUGAUAUUUUUUCGUCAAUGAUAGUUAACUACCGCUGAUUUUGUCUUGCCGUAGUUAACUACUAUUCUACAUUUAAAACAAAAAAUUAAAAAUUAAAAAUACUCUAGCGAUAGUUAACUACCGUAGAGCAUUAAAAUUUACUACCUCCGUCCCUAAAUAUAGGAGUCUUUUGCAAAAAUUGCAGAGAUUAAGAAAGUUGGUUGUAGCAUUAAAUUUGUAUAUAAUUACUAUUAUUUUUACAAUUUUAUCCUUAAGAGAAAGAGUUAAUUUAUGUUCUCAACAUAAUACUUUUUUUUUUUUUUGAAGAAACAAAAAUGGUAUAUAUUAACAAAGGCGGUAAAACCUCCUAAGUACAAGAUGUACUAAGAAGUCACCCCUCAAAGAGUCAAACAAAUGUAAUUAUUACAAUAAACCGGGUGCGUCGAUACCUAAACAAAGCAUAGGAUCCGACCACCACCUUUGAGAACCGUACACAAAUGUGGCUUUACUAGCUUUUAGCCACCAUAAAGAGUGUAAUUUUACUUUUUCUCAUAAGCCUUCAAUGGAUGUUUGGGUAUUAUUAAAAAGUCUGUUGUUGCGUUCAUUUCAAACCAUCCACACACAAAGUAACCAAAUGAGCUGCAUAAAGGAUCUACGCGUCCUCGUAUGACCUGUACAAGUAAUAAACUGAAUAAAGUGGUCACUAAGAUCAUGGGGAUCAGCUCCGGACACGCCAAUCCAUGCACAGGAAAAAGAUGCAAAAUAAAUAAGGGUAGGUUGGUAAAGAAAUAAUUAGUGUACUUGAAAAUAUCAAAGGAGUCUUAUAAAAAGUGACAAAUUUUUUUCUCAAAAAGGUCUUAUAAUUAAGGACGAAUGUAACAGUUAUUUUCUACGCAAUUACGCUGAAUGCCUGUGUGCUCACUUUAUAUCAUGUCGGCAGAGGCAACUUCUCCUCAUUUGGAAAGAAAACAAAAAGGGUCAAGAUUCCUCGCCCAUUUUUAUCUCAAGCAUGGCCCAUGUUGAAUAAUAGAGUCACAUGCGUUCAAUGUUGAUAUCUAAAAAUUGCAUAUGUGAGAAAAAAUAAUAAAUUAUCAAAAAAAUUGCAAAUGUCUCUUGUAACAUAUUCGGAGAGUUAUGUCAUUUAGUUCGUGAUUGAAUUUGGGUCUUUAGGGAUAAUUUGUAUGACACUGUUGAUCAUUUUUUUGUACAGUUUACUUAUAUGUCAGGCGGGUUGGGAGUUCGAAUAUCAUUUAUGCAAUUCAUUUGGCUUUUGUGUGUUUAGAUUUUGUGGACUGAAUUUAAUAACAGACUGUUUAAAAAUACGGUAAAUACUCUUCAUAAGUUGUCGGAAAAUGUUAAAAUCCACUCGUAUUGGUGGAUGGCUAGCGUGCCCUUUUGCUGGUCACGCAACUGAAAAAAUGUGGUCACGCAUACCAUAUAUUUGGUUAACUGAAAAAGGUGGUCAUGCAUACCAAUGUCUUCUAUUUCUUCCACUUGCUCCUUCCUUUUUUUCAAAACCCUCCCCUCCCCUCCCCUCCAAACUCCCAAACAAAGCCUAAGAUUAGUCUCUUAGGAUUUAUCAACGUUUAGCCAUUAGUCUCUUCAUCCCAUUACUUCAUCAUAACUUUUCCUUACCUAAUAAAAUGGAUUUGGUUCUUGAUUUCCUAACUAGUGCCACUACACUAGCACUAUUUUCAAUACUCUUGUUUUAUUGUUUGUUUCUUUAUCGUUCCUACAAAGUUUCUCAUAGCAAAGAGGAUCCUAUAGUUCAAGGGGCAUGGCCAAUACUUGGUCACCUCCCACUAUUAAGAUCUUCACAAUCACCUCAUAGAACCUUAGGUGCAUUGGCUGAUAAAUAUGGACCCUUGUUCACUAUUAAGAUUGGUUCCAAACGUGCUUUGGUUCUUAGCAAUUGGGAAAUGGCAAAGG